UACGUAGGGUGCGAGCGUUAAUCGGAAUUACUGGGCGUAAAGCGUGCGCAGGCGGUUCGUUAUGUCCGUUGUGAAAGCCCCGGGCUCAACCUGGGAAUGGCAAUGGAAACUGGCGGGCUAGAGUGUGGCAGAGGGGGGUGGAAUUCCGCGUGUAGCAGUGAAAUGCGUAGAUAUCAGGAGGAACACCGAUGGCGAAGGCAGCUGCCUGGCCUAACACUGACGCUGAGGUGCGAAAGCGUGGGGAGCGAACGGG
RNAcentral lists this ribosomal RNA (253 nucleotides) under uncultured bacterium. RNAcentral describes it as "partial 16S ribosomal RNA". It matches the Rfam family "Bacterial small subunit ribosomal RNA", at positions 524 to 776 of the family's 1533-position model. The record is from RNAcentral.